CUUCAGAGUAAAUAGAAUCCUUUCUUCACUGCUCCAUUGUCAGCUCAGGAACCACUGAGAAGGAAGCCUCCAGAAUCCUACAGCAGAUAGCAACAGUAGCUGCUGCAGUGAUGGCAUUAUAACCUGCAAUGCCUUUUUCAUCCCCAUAUCUCUUCCAGCUCAAGAAAUGUGGAUUCUUGUGGGUGGUAAAGCAUACCUAUCAAAUGUUGUUAUUGUCAUUUUUUUCAGGCUUCUUAUCAAUUGAAUUUUUUUUUUUGCCAUUUUUAUUCCCAUACCCCUUCAUCAACCCUAUCUGCAAGUCCCCAAAGUUUCUCUUUUUCGAUUUAAUUAAAUACACAAAAUCUAAUGUAUGAUCAUAUGCUAUUUUUAUUUAUUCAUUUAUUCACUUAUUUUGGUACUGGAGAUCGUACAUGAGCUCUACAAUUGAGUACAUUCCCUUAUUCCUAUAUUUACGUAUAUUCCAUAUUGUUUUAAAUACUUUCUUAGAUGAUAGACUUAAAUAGCCAUUUGAGUCAAGUAUUCAUUCCAGAAAUUCUGUAAUGUUACUUUCUAUAAGCUGACUGAAGACAUUUGAUCUGGCUACCAUAUAAUUGGUGUGUCCUCAGAUUACUAACAACAUGUUUGAGAGCCCCAAUUAAGUCUAUUUCAUUUUUAUUGCUUUAGCAGCAGGAAAUAAAGUACAUUUGAAAAUUCUCUGUAUUGUUUCAGAAUCAAGACCAGAGUCGCAAACAAGGUAUCAACUUUAAAGGGAAGGAUUUUGUAAGGAUGAAUCCACACCAAAAGAUCUCUAGCAUAUAUUAUGAGGAUUCCUUACAGAUUCCUGAGUAUGGAGAAGUCUGUCAGUAUAAAGACCAAUUAGAAAAGCAUGAAGGCAGGACCAUAGGAGAAUGAUGUUGUAAAUGCAGUGAGUGUGGAAAAAUGUUUGUUCAGAACUCAGGCCUCGUUUGGCAUCAGAGAAUCCACACUGGAGAGAAAAUUUAUGAGUGUGAUCACAGUGGAAAAGCCUUCAGUGUGUGCUCAACCUUUAUUGUGCAUGAAAGAAUCCACAUUGGAGAGAAGCCCUAUACUUGUAAUGAAUGUAAGAAAGCCUAAACUGUGAGGGCACAUCUGAUUAUACAUCAGAGAAUCCACAAUGGAAAAAAGCCCUAUGACUGCAGAGAAUGUGGCAAAGCAUUUAGUGUUAGUUCAGACCUUAUUAAAUAUCAGAGAAUCCAUAGUAGUGAGAAACCAUAUGAAUGUGAUGAGUGUGGGAAAUUUUUCAGUCUGAGCUCAGCCUUCAUCAACAUCAGAGAAUCCACACAGAAGAGAAGCCAUAUGAGUGUAAGAAGUGUGAGAAAGCUUUCUAUGUGAACUCAACUCUUAUUAAUCACCAGAGAAUUCACUCUGGAGAAAAGCUUUAUGAAUGUGGAGAGUGUGGAAAAGCCUUCAGUCAGAUCUCAACCCUUAUUCAUCACCAGAGAAUCUAUACUGGAGAAAAACCAUAUGAGUGUGAUGAAUGUGGGAAAACUUUCUGUGGGAACUUCAGUCUUAACUAAGCACCAGAAAAUACACACCAAAGUUAAGUGUCAUCAGUGAUGUAUGUGGUGAAGAUAUUCCAGAGGCCUUUUGUUGCAUCAUAAGUUACCAUCAAAAGAAGAAUAUGAUAAAAAGUUAAUGCAUUAAUUUUCAUUUUACCUUUUGGAAUAUUGAAGAAAUGAAAAGUCACCGAAAGUGACUCCAGCAGCAUAAUAUCUAAGACUGAAAAAUCACAUCUACUCUGACAGUGUUGUUUACAACUGUAAGGUAAAGCCAUUUAAAAAUCUUAUUCUAAGCCACAUGCAGUUGCUCAUGCCUGUAAUCCCAGUAGCUCUGAGGCAGGAGGAUUGUGAGUUCAAAGCCUGCCUUAGCAACUGAGUGAGACCCUGCUAAAUAAAAUAUAAAAAGGGUUGGGGAUGUGGUUCAGUGGUUAAGCACCC
This 1955-nucleotide long non-coding RNA is filed under the name Marmota monax (woodchuck). Lineage: Eukaryota; Metazoa; Chordata; Mammalia; Rodentia; Sciuridae. The record is from RNAcentral.